GUUUCCGUAGCUCAGCUGGAUAGAGCACCCGCCUCCUAAGCGGGGGGUCGUGCGUUCAAAUCGCAUCGGGAACA
This 74-nucleotide transfer RNA is filed under the name Lachnospiraceae bacterium. RNAcentral's name for it is "tRNA-Arg". It matches the Rfam family "tRNA". Rfam says of the family: Transfer RNA (tRNA) molecules are approximately 80 nucleotides in length. Their secondary structure includes four short double-helical elements and three loops (D, anti-codon, and T loops). The record is from RNAcentral. Lineage: Bacteria; Bacillati; Bacillota; Clostridia; Lachnospirales; Lachnospiraceae.